AUUGCUUCUCGGCCUUUUGGCUGAAAUCAAGUGUAGUAUCUGUUCUGACAAGUUUAAUACAAAUAACCCAAGCUAAAAUUAUACUCAGUGGAGAAAGAGAAAGCUGUCCACUUAAGAUCAGGAACAAGAACCCCUACUUUCUACAGUGCCAUUCAGAAUUGUACUAGAAGUUCUAGCAAAGCAAUUUGUUAU
This is a small nuclear RNA of Oryctolagus cuniculus (rabbit), 192 nucleotides long. Its record names the gene U2. It matches the Rfam family "U2 spliceosomal RNA". From Rfam's summary of the family: U2 is a small nuclear RNA (snRNA) component of the spliceosome (involved in pre-mRNA splicing). Complementary binding between U2 snRNA (in an area lying towards the 5' end but 3' to hairpin I) and the branchpoint sequence (BPS) of the intron results the bulging out of an unpaired adenosine, on the BPS, which initiates a nucleophilic attack at the intronic 5' splice site, thus starting the first of two transesterification reactions that mediate splicing. The record is from Ensembl. Lineage: Eukaryota; Metazoa; Chordata; Mammalia; Lagomorpha; Leporidae.